RNAcentral lists this long non-coding RNA (791 nucleotides) under Equus caballus (horse). Its description in RNAcentral is "lncRNA (ENSECAG00000036276.2)". Lineage: Eukaryota; Metazoa; Chordata; Mammalia; Perissodactyla; Equidae. The record is from RNAcentral.
CCGGGGUUGACUCUUUUCACUCAGCAUGAAUCCGUGGAGUUCAUCCAAGUCAUUGUGUGUAUUUACCAUUGGUUCCCUUUAUUGCAGAGAAGUAUCUCAUGAUGUUAUACACAACAGUUUCUUUAACCACUCACCUGUUGAAGAACACCAGGGCCGAUUCCAGUUUCUGGCUAACGUGAAUCAAGCUACUAUGGACAUUUCUGUACAGCUCUCAAGCACUGAUAGGCUGAUAGCUUCCAAUUUUCUUAAAACCCCACUGGCUUCUCUGCAUAUUAGCAGUCACACCUCGGCACUCCAGAAUCUCUCUCAGCACCGUGGCGAGGUCAAUUCAACAAAUGUUUAUUGACUACUUACUAUAUGAGGCUAUUUCCAGGGUGUCUUACUGUCCAACCAUGAAAUCAGAGCCACCCGUGUGUUUAAUCUUACAACACAAGAAUGCCAGGACAAGAUUCUCGUCUCCUCCAUGAGCUUCUGCUCCUCCUCUUGCCCCAGAUAUCUGCCCUUUGACCUUCUCAGGAACAGCAGCAGCUGCCUCCCAGCAACGUUAGCAGCUUCUUCAUCACCACCAUCUUUUACUGGAGGAGAGAUAAUAGUCACCAAGAUCAACUUUGGCUGAAUUUUAAAAAUAACGAAAAAAAAUCAAAGUUCUCUUAGAUUUUCUGUCAAUUGCUUUAGAGAGCUACCAGAUUUAUUAAUGAUUAUAUUAAAGAAGAAAUGCUAUACAAACCUUUGUGCCAAUCACAUUUUUUUCCCAGAUACAGGAAAUGUCACUGUUGUGGGUCAGCCUUCUG